CAGGGGACUCCUGCCUCAGAACUAGUGAGAUUUGUCUGUCCUUCACUCAAUCUUAGCUGGAGGCCAAGAAGUGAUCUCCUCCUGUCCUCCUCCACUUGCAUUAGGUGAAAGUUUGCCCACAGCAUCUCUCAUGUAUUUGGUAAUCGCUCAGUUUUUCUCACCCUGUGUUAAAACUUGGGAGUUUAGAUAACAGACUUUCUCACUUUCCCAAAGGUCUGAGAGGGAGAACACUAGCAGUUUGAAUACCAUGUGGCAUUUACCCUGCAGUAGGGGUGUGGCAGCACAGAAUGUGGUGGACAGGGCGGAGAUGCUGUGCCUCCGGACAGGAGAGCACCAGAGGAGGCCCUGAGCACGGUUCUGGUCCGGUUUCAGCAGAGCUCGCAGGUCAAUGUCAGCAGCUGCAACACCUGUCUGAAGUUGGUAAUGACUGUGACCUCUCAGAAUAUCAUCACUUCCUGGGCUCAAGGUUGGCUGAAAGCCACUCGCAUUGCUCAAGUCUGAGGUUGAAGGUGACCUCACCAGUGUUCCCUGACUGUGUUUCCGUCAGCUGCAGAAAUGAAGAGAUAAUGGUUAGAUUUAGCAACAUCAGGAGAAGCUACUGAGACAUGGACUGCAGAGCCUCAGUUCAAGAUCCUGCUGAGAAAGUGAAGCAGGCAGGGGAAGGUGAGUCCUUUGCCCAUGCAGCCUGCCGAGAAACAUGGCUGUGACUCCGGAAAGAAAGAAAACAGAUCCCAGUUCCUUGGAUGUACAUCUACUGCUACCGAGGUCACCAUGGCAGUACCACUCAGCCCCAGUCCAGGGGCUGAAGUGAAUGUUGUGGAGUUCAAGGAGUAUAAGUGCUCUUGGGUGGGAGAGAAUGAACUGCAAUUUGAAGACUGCAGAUCAAGUUCUGUUAGACCUGAAGCAGCUGUUGGCUCUCUGGACACCAAAGUGCAGAAAUGUGGAGGUGUAAAGUACAAAGAUGAUGUGGAGUCUCUGCUUGGGGAGAAGCCGCAGCCCAAAGAGCAGGAGCUGUCCGCAGAGCUUCCCCUGACCGAGCAGCUCAGGGUGUCCACGUUGCUCAUUCGAGAGCAGAAAUGGGAGCUCUCUGAGUUAACCAAGAAGCUGAAAGAAGGGAGAGCAGUGUCAUUGCUGCUGAAGGAGUCUCUGGAGGUCCACCUCAGUCGAGGUCACCCUGACAACGAGCACAGCUGGCGACAGGGACUGGCUGCAGGGUGCAGGCUGGCAGAGCAGCUCGUCCACAUGCUCAACCUAGAGAUUCCAGAACAGGAGGAGGAUGGAAAAGAACAGCUGUUGCUGGGCCCCAGUGUGAGUGCAGAGGGCCUGCAGCGGGAGGAGGAAGAAGACCAUUUGACUCCCUCUGGCGGGUCUGAGCCUGGUGAGACCCAGCAGCCUCCCUGCACCACUGCUGCCCUGGUAGAUGAGGUAGAGACCCCUUCUCCAGGUGCCUCCGAAAAUCAAAAUCACCCUGAGGACGAGGACACCCUGGAGCCAGAAUCGCCCAGGGUUAUAAUUGAAGAUCUGGCCUUGGAUUUGAAGCCUAUAGAGCAGUUUCAGAGAUGGAGGGACAUAAUCUUCUACCUGCGACUGAGUCUGAAGGACAUGCUGACCCCAGAUGGACCUGUGAGCCACCAGGAACAACAUGCAGAGAGGCGCAGGCUGGCCAAGAGCCCUCGCCCUCCAGCUCAGCCCAGAGCAGCACUGCAAUGGGGAUGAUGAGGAAGAAACAGAGUCCCCAGACUCCAGUGGUGAGCAGCAGGAUGUGAAAGUGGAUGAACUCCUGUGAGAUUCAGUAGAAGAACACUCCCUCCUCGCUUCUGGGUGUCCUGACGCACCUUACCAACAGCAAGGUCACAUCCUCGCUGCCGUCCCUGCAGAGGAGCCUGAAGCGAGUUCUGUGCCCAAUGGAACCAAACCUGAAGGCAUCCGCAAGCCACAGGAGGAGCAGGCAACCGAGCUGUGCAGGAAUUUCAGUUCUGCAAUGGAACUUUUGCCCCAGAUGUUGACAAACUUAGGGAAAACUUUCUGGAAUUGGAAGGAUAAUCAUCUUCUUCCUCCGUUGCAGCAUCAGGGACCUGCUGUCCCGGGAUGACCCUGUGAGACAGGAGGGGCAGAGCCACCGAGACCAUGCUGAGUGGCGCAAGAUGGCUGAGCGCCUCGCCCUGCAGCUCUGCCCAGGACCGGGCUCCUGGAGAACAGCAGCAUCGCCCAGCAUCCUCACGGGAAGGGGGGCCAUAGGGGAAG
Non-coding RNA from Heterocephalus glaber (naked mole-rat), 2244 nucleotides. NCBI's taxonomy places the organism in Eukaryota, Metazoa, Chordata, Mammalia, Rodentia, Bathyergidae. The record is from RefSeq and is a predicted model, not a curated record.